AAUGGUAUGCCAUAAAAUAAGAUCUAGUUGGUGAGUACAGUGUUACAUCUCACCAAAGAACAAAUCAGCUAGGACAACCAAAACUUGAUAGAAGGGAUAUAUACAGUUUUAGAUUUGAAAGAUUUAUGAAGUAUACAUAACUUGAUUAUAAGCAAGUCAGGUCCUUCAGGUCCGUGUCUUACAGCCAUAAAGCCAUCAAGUCAUUGGUGGUGCAUCUUCUAUGGAUUUGAUAUAAUUGGAAAAAAAAAAAAAA
Molecule: long non-coding RNA, 253 nt
Organism: Populus euphratica (Euphrates poplar)
Lineage: Eukaryota; Viridiplantae; Streptophyta; Magnoliopsida; Malpighiales; Salicaceae
Exons: 2
Source: RefSeq, a predicted model, not a curated record